CCGGAAGCCUCUGACGGGUCCGGCAUGCCGGGGCGGAUGCAACGGCAUCCCACGGCGAAAGACUUGUACCCAUGUUGCUCAACGGAGGAUGUGGCUAUGAGAA
Molecule: small RNA, 103 nt
Filed under: Paracoccus denitrificans PD1222
Lineage: Bacteria; Pseudomonadati; Pseudomonadota; Alphaproteobacteria; Rhodobacterales; Paracoccaceae
Description: Repression of heat shock gene expression (ROSE) element
Rfam family: Repression of heat shock gene expression (ROSE) element
About the family: This family represents a 5' UTR cis-regulatory element found in heat shock mRNAs and is known as the ROSE (repression of heat shock gene expression) element. The ROSE element is a negative regulator of heat shock gene expression.
Source: Rfam by way of RNAcentral